Molecule: long non-coding RNA, 1536 nt
Filed under: Homo sapiens (human)
Lineage: Eukaryota; Metazoa; Chordata; Mammalia; Primates; Hominidae
Description: HSALNT0344915
Source: RNAcentral
CCUAAGUGAUCCACCUGCCUCAGUCUCCCGAAGUGCUGGGAUUACAGGCGUGAGACACCGUGCCUGGCCAGAUGGACUUUUUUGGAGCAUUUAGUUCCAAGCACCUUCCCUGCAUUUUCUCAGUUAAUCCUCCCAGUGACUCUUUGAAGCAGGGACUAUGACAAUCGUCAUUUCACAGAUGGAGCAACUGAGGCACAGAGAGGAAGUCAAUGGCCACGGUCGCCCAGCUGAGGAAGGAUGGAGCCGGCUGAGAUCCUGUUCUGGGGAUCUAACUCUGCAGCCUGCAUUCUGGGCUGCUGUAUUCUCCCUUGUUGCUAUCUGACGAGCACAGCAUGGGCUCAGAGUACAGACAGGAGGAACCAGCUAAUAAGGAGAGGUCUAGGGUGCAGGCUGGUGCCUUGGGGAAGAAGAGAGAGGUCCCAUUCUAGAGGGAUGGCAUUGGAAGUUCAUAGUGAUAAAACAAAGCCAACAGGUUUUGGGGCUGAGAGUUAAACACACAGCUCUGGUUUCUGCCUUUUCACAGUGGUAUGAAUGAGCACUGAGAGCCUCUCGAGCUAAAGUUGUCAUCAUUGCUCUUCAUAGUCUGAAGGUGCAUGAAAUGGUCAACUUUCUUCCAAAGGGCUUUUAUGCCUAAGUCUGUGGUUAGUGUAUAAACAGAUAUUUACUGAAGUCCUGCUGGGUGCAGACACUGUGGCCAGCCCUGAGGCUACAGUUGAGAUGAAGCUAGUCUCUGUCCUCAUGGAGACCUGUCUAUUGAUAAGAAAAGAGAAAGCUCACUGAGCAUUGACCCUGUGCCCACUGCUUUUGAUACAUCUCUCAUUUAAUCCUUCUAUCAAAUCUGUGAAAUAAACACAUCACCAUCAUCCUAUUUCACAUUUAGGGAAACAUAUGCUUAGAGAGGGUAAGUAACUUGGUCAAGGUCACACAGCUUCGAUCUCUCAUCCCACAGGCGCAGGAAUGGGAGGCAGCAGCUGGGGAAGCCAGAGUCUCUGGCAGUCCUUGUCUCUGGGCGGUGAUCCAGAGAGAGAGAGAACACGAUUGUCUCAGCACUGGGUCUUCUUCUGAGUCGUCUUGAAGGAGCAAUUCCAGAGCGUCUCGGUGUUAAACAUCAUGUUGUGAAUGACUCAGUGAUCUCUGACCCAGAGACCUUGGGGAUAAAGGAGGGGAGAAAUGAGGCUUCUCCCCAGGACCAGCAUUCCACGAAGGCAGCCCUUUUCUAGAUGGAGAAAACAGAACCUGAAGACACCCGUUUCCCUAAACUGCUCUCGCUCAUGUAAACUCCUGGAGGGCAGAGGCAUGCCUGCCAUCUUCAUCAUUGCAUUACCACCACCCAACACUAUCGGGGGACCUGCCCUGAUAAUCAGUCUACAGGUGUAUCCAGCAGCUCCAGAGAGACAGCGACCAGCGAGAAGGGGCCAUGAUGAUGGUGGUGGUUUUGUCAAAACGAAAAGGGGGAUAUGUAGGGAAAAGAAAGAGAGAUCAGACUGUUACUGUGUCUACAUAGAAAGGGAAGCCAUAAGAGACUCCAUUUUGAAA